RNAcentral lists this ribosomal RNA (472 nucleotides) under Trichosporon asahii. Its description in RNAcentral is "eukaryotic LSU rRNA". The stretch from base 117 to 270 matches the Rfam family "5.8S ribosomal RNA". The record is from RNAcentral. Lineage: Eukaryota; Fungi; Basidiomycota; Tremellomycetes; Trichosporonales; Trichosporonaceae.
CUUUAUAGGCUUAUAACUAUAUCCACUUACACCUGUGAACUGUUCUACUACUUGACGCAAGUCGAGUAUUUUUACAAACAAUGUGUAAUGAACGUCGUUUUAUUAUAACAAAAUAAAACUUUCAACAACGGAUCUCUUGGCUCUCGCAUCGAUGAAGAACGCAGCGAAUUGCGAUAAGUAAUGUGAAUUGCAGAAUUCAGUGAAUCAUCGAAUCUUUGAACGCAGCUUGCGCUCUCUGGUAUUCCGGAGAGCAUGCCUGUUUCAGUGUCAUGAAAUCUCAACCACUAGGGUUUCCUAAUGGAUUGGAUUUGGGCGUCUGCGAUUUCUGAUCGCUCGCCUUAAAAGAGUUAGCAAGUUUGACAUUAAUGUCUGGUGUAAUAAGUUUCACUGGGUCCAUUGUGUUGAAGCGUGCUUCUAAUCGUCCGCAAGGACAAUUACUUUGACUCUGGCCUGAAAUCAGGUAGGACUACCC